RNAcentral lists this small RNA (370 nucleotides) under Carlito syrichta (Philippine tarsier). RNAcentral's name for it is "ncRNA Repressor of NFAT (nuclear factor of activated T cells) (ENSTSYG00000024861.2)". It matches the Rfam family "ncRNA Repressor of NFAT (nuclear factor of activated T cells)". The record is from Rfam by way of RNAcentral. Lineage: Eukaryota; Metazoa; Chordata; Mammalia; Primates; Tarsiidae.
GGAAGCAAAUGGCAUCAGGAACUUUGAAACUUUCCUUUGUAUAUUACAUUAAUCCAUAUAAGAAAAUCUCUUUUAAUGAGGAGUGAUGUAGUUACAAACUCUCCAGAGCCAUAAUUAGAGCAAACUAAUUGAAGUUGUGUUUUGACACACUUUCCAAAUUCACGGGUGCCGGAUGACAUAUUCACAACACUGCUGCUGCACAACCAUGGCGACGGCAAAAUCAUUAGGCUAAUAACACUUAUUUGCAUUCUUAUCAUGCCAGCAGCUCGCCCUUAAAUACUGUUUCUACUAUUGCUCCUUUACUGUAAGUUUCCACUGAAAGAUAUUAACAGUAAUUAUUAGUACUUUAGUAGAAUUUUAAUGUUAAAGA